This 71-nucleotide transfer RNA is filed under the name Podarcis lilfordi (Lilford's wall lizard). RNAcentral describes it as "tRNA.Gln". The record is from RNAcentral. Lineage: Eukaryota; Metazoa; Chordata; Lepidosauria; Squamata; Lacertidae.
UUUAGCUCAGUCAGUAGAGCAUGAGACUCUGAAUCUCAGGGUCUUGUGUUUGAGCCCCACGUUGGGCAAAA